RNAcentral lists this small nucleolar RNA (132 nucleotides) under Neurospora crassa. Its description in RNAcentral is "box C/D snoRNA CD1". The record is from RNAcentral. Lineage: Eukaryota; Fungi; Ascomycota; Sordariomycetes; Sordariales; Sordariaceae.
UAAUAUGAUGACUUGAGUGCAUUUGGCUAGAGUAUCGCGCCUGUCACGGCUGGUCAACCGUUCCGGUCCCAGUUUGUGUAGGGAGCUUUCCAUGAUGAAAAAUCUCAGCUACCUUACAAUUUUCGUCUGAAA